This 682-nucleotide ribosomal RNA is filed under the name Cryptococcus sp. CRUB 2005. Its description in RNAcentral is "eukaryotic LSU rRNA". It matches the Rfam family "Eukaryotic large subunit ribosomal RNA", at positions 1 to 634 of the family's 3401-position model. The record is from RNAcentral. Lineage: Eukaryota; Fungi; Basidiomycota; Tremellomycetes; Tremellales; Cryptococcaceae.
UGGGACGCUUGUCCGCUUUCCAAUACAAGUUCCAUUCGUGGACAUGACUUUUUAUUAUCUGGCCUCAAAUCAGGUAGGACUACCCGCUGAACUUAAGCAUAUCAAUAAGCGGAGGAAAAGAAACUAACAAGGAUUCCCCUAGUAACGGCGAGUGAAGCGGGAAGAGCUCAAAUUUGAAAUCUGGUAGCCUCAGGCUAUCCGAGUUGUAAUCUAUAGAUGCGUUUUCCGCGCUGGCCCAUGUACAAGUGCCUUGGAAUAGGCUGUCAUAGAGGGUGAGAAUCCCGUCCCUGACAUGGACUACCAGUGCUUUGUGAUACGUAUUCAACGAGUCGAGUUGUUUGGGAAUGCAGCUCAAAAUGGGUGGUAAAUUCCAUCUAAAGCUAAAUAUUGGCGAGAGACCGAUAGCGAACAAGUACCGUGAGGGAAAGAUGAAAAGCACUUUGGAAAGAGAGUUAAACAGUAUGUGAAAUUGUUGAAAGGGAAACGAUUGAAGUCAGUCGUGUCUAUUGGACUCAGCCGGUUCUGCCGGUGUACUUCCUUUAGACGGGGUCAACAUCAGUUUUGAUCGCUGGAAAAGGGCUGGAGGAAUGUAGCACUCUCGGGUGAACUUAUAGCCUUCAGUCGUAUGCAGUGGUUGGGACUGAGGAACGCAGCACGCCUUUAUGGCCGGGGUUCGCCCACG